CCUACGGGAGGCAGCAGUGGGGAAUAUUGGACAAUGGGCGAAAGCCUGAUCCAGCAAUGCCGCGUGAGUGAUGAAGGCCUUAGGGUCGUAAAGCUCUUUUACCCGGGAUGAUAAUGACAGUACCGGGAGAAUAAGCCCCGGCUAACUCCGUGCCAGCAGCCGCGGUAAUACGGAGGGGGCUAGCGUUGUUCGGAAUUACUGGGCGUAAAGCGUGCGUAGGCGGUUAUUCAAGUCAGAGGUGAAAGCCCGGGGCUCAACCCCGGAACGGCCUUUGAAACUAGGUAGCUAGAAUCUUGGAGAGGUCAGUGGGAUUCCGAGUGUAGAGGUGAAAUUCGUAGAUAUUCGGAAGAACACCAGUGGCGAAGGCGACUGACUGGACAAGUAUUGACGCUGAGGCACGAAAGCGUGGGGAGCAAACAGGAUUAGAUACCCUGGUAGUCCACGCCGUAAACGAUGAUAACUAGCUGUUCGGGUACUUGGUAUCUGAGUGGCGCAGCUAACGCAUUAAGUUAUCCGCCUGGGGAGUACGGUCGCAAGAUUAAAACUUAAAUGAAAUUGACGG
RNAcentral lists this ribosomal RNA (562 nucleotides) under uncultured bacterium. RNAcentral describes it as "bacterial SSU rRNA". It matches the Rfam family "Bacterial small subunit ribosomal RNA", at positions 338 to 916 of the family's 1533-position model. The record is from RNAcentral.